GCCUGGGUGGCUCAGUUGGUUAAGCGUCUGACUUUGGCUCAGGUCAUGAUCUCACAGUUUGUGAGUUCGAGCCCCGCGUCAGGCU
This 85-nucleotide transfer RNA is filed under the name Felis catus (domestic cat). It matches the Rfam family "tRNA". Rfam says of the family: Transfer RNA (tRNA) molecules are approximately 80 nucleotides in length. Their secondary structure includes four short double-helical elements and three loops (D, anti-codon, and T loops). The record is from Rfam by way of RNAcentral. Lineage: Eukaryota; Metazoa; Chordata; Mammalia; Carnivora; Felidae.